GACGAACGCUGGCGGCGUGCUUAACACAUGCAAGUCGAACGAAGAGCGAUGGAAGCUUGCUUCUAUCAAUCUUAGUGGCGAACGGGUGAGUAACGCGUAAUCAACCUGCCCUUCAGAGGGGGACAACAGUUGGAAACGACUGCUAAUACCGCAUACGAUCUAAUCUCGGCAUCGAGGAUAGAUGAAAGGUGGCCUCUACAUGUAAGCUAUCACUGAAGGAGGGGAUUGCGUCUGAUUAGCUAGUUGGCGGGGUAACGGCCCACCAAGGCGAUGAUCAGUGGCCGGUCUGAGAGGAUGAACGGCCACAUUGGGACUGAGACACGGCCCAGACUCCUACGGGAGGCAGCAGUGGGGAAUCUUCCGCAAUGGACGAAAGUCUGACGGAGCAACGCCGCGUGAGUGAUGACGGCCGUCGGGUUGUAAAGCUCUGUUAAUCGGGACGAAAGGCCUUCUUGCGAAUAGUGAGAAGGAUUGACGGUACCGGAAUAGAAAGCCACGGCUAACUACGUG
RNAcentral lists this ribosomal RNA (510 nucleotides) under uncultured bacterium. RNAcentral's name for it is "partial 16S ribosomal RNA". It matches the Rfam family "Bacterial small subunit ribosomal RNA", at positions 28 to 507 of the family's 1533-position model. The record is from RNAcentral.